AUGCUCGCUUCGGAAGCACACAUACUAAAACUGGAACCAUACAGAGAAGACUAGCAUGACCCCUGCACAAGGGUGACAGGCAAAUUCGUGAAGUGUUCCAUAUUUUA
This is a small nuclear RNA of Nannospalax galili (Upper Galilee mountains blind mole rat), 107 nucleotides long. The record is from Ensembl. Lineage: Eukaryota; Metazoa; Chordata; Mammalia; Rodentia; Spalacidae.